Thalassophryne amazonica is the source of this 211-nucleotide long non-coding RNA. RefSeq lists it as uncharacterized. The record is from RefSeq and is a predicted model, not a curated record. Lineage: Eukaryota; Metazoa; Chordata; Actinopteri; Batrachoidiformes; Batrachoididae. The transcript has 3 exons.
UUUUUCUCUGGAAGUUUACAUAAGUGAGUGUGACAUGCUGUCAAACACCUUUGUCAAGUCAGUGAAGGCAAGGUACAAUAGUUGGUGUUACUCUGGACGCUUUUCUUGCAAUUGGUGGACAGUGAAGAUCAUGUCUGUUGUACCUCUUGAUGGCUAGAAGCCACUCUGGAUUUCAGGAGGGACGUUUUCUGCUCGUGGUCUCAGAUGGUUG